RNAcentral lists this ribosomal RNA (455 nucleotides) under Campylobacter gracilis. Its description in RNAcentral is "bacterial SSU rRNA". It matches the Rfam family "Bacterial small subunit ribosomal RNA", at positions 29 to 500 of the family's 1533-position model. Lineage: Bacteria; Pseudomonadati; Campylobacterota; Epsilonproteobacteria; Campylobacterales; Campylobacteraceae. The record is from RNAcentral.
GUGAACGCUGCGGCGUGCCUAAUACAUGCAAGUCGAACGGAAUUUAAAAGAGCUUGCUCUUUUGAAUUUAGUGGCGCACGGGUGAGUAAUAUAUAGCUAAUCUGCCCCUUGCUGGAGGACAACAGUUAGAAAUGACUGCUAAUACUCCAUACUCCUUUUUACCAUAAGAUAAAUCGGGAAAGAAUUUCGGCAAGGGAUGAGACUAUAUCGUAUCAGCUAGUCGGUGGGGUAACGGCCUACCGAGGCUAUGACGCGUAACCGGUCUGAGAGGAUGAUCAGUCACAUUGGAACUGAGACACGGUCCAAACUCCUACGGGAGGCAGCAGUAGGGAAUAUUGCGCAAUGGGGGAAACCCUGACGCAGCAACGCCGCGUGGAGGAUGACACUUUUCGGAGCGUAAACUCCUUUUGUUAGGGAAGAAUAAUGACGGUACCUAACGAAUAAGCACCGGCUAA